Molecule: ribosomal RNA, 253 nt
Filed under: uncultured bacterium
Lineage: Bacteria
Description: partial 16S ribosomal RNA
Rfam family: Bacterial small subunit ribosomal RNA
Source: RNAcentral
UACGGAGGGUGCGAGCGUUGUUCGGAAUCACUGGGCGUAAAGCGCGUGUAGGCGGCCUUUUCAGUCUGAUGUGAAAGCCCGGGGCUCACCCCCGGAAGUGCAUUGGAAACUGGGAGGCUAGAGUACCGGAGAGGAGGGUAGAAUUCCUGGUGUAGCGGUGAAAUGCGUAGAUAUCAGGAGGAAUACCGGCGGCGAAGGCGGCCCUCUGGAUCGUUGCUGACGCUGAGACGCGAAAGCGUGGGGAGCAAACAGG